CCUGAUGGCUCAGAUGGUAAAGAAUCUGCCUGCUAUGCAGGAGACCCAGGUUGGAUCCCUGGGUCAGGA
RNAcentral lists this transfer RNA (69 nucleotides) under Odocoileus virginianus texanus. It matches the Rfam family "tRNA". From Rfam's summary of the family: Transfer RNA (tRNA) molecules are approximately 80 nucleotides in length. Their secondary structure includes four short double-helical elements and three loops (D, anti-codon, and T loops). The record is from Rfam by way of RNAcentral. Lineage: Eukaryota; Metazoa; Chordata; Mammalia; Artiodactyla; Cervidae. RNAcentral also lists the same sequence under 6 other names.